This 160-nucleotide ribosomal RNA is filed under the name Ruminococcus sp. AM44-9AT. RNAcentral describes it as "partial 23S ribosomal RNA". It matches the Rfam family "Bacterial large subunit ribosomal RNA", at positions 2766 to 2925 of the family's 2925-position model. The record is from RNAcentral. RNAcentral also lists the same sequence under 2 other names. Lineage: Bacteria; Bacillati; Bacillota; Clostridia; Eubacteriales; Oscillospiraceae.
AAACGCUGAAGGCAUCUAAGCGUGAAGCCCCCCUUAAGAUGAGAUAUCCCAUUCGAAAGAAGUAAACCCCCUUGAAGACGACGAGGUAGAUAGGGCAGAGGUGGAAGUGUGGCAACACAUGGAGCUGACUGUUACUAAUCGGGUGAGGGCUUGACCAAAA